GCGUGGAGGAUGAAGGCCCUUGGGUUGUAAACUCCUUUUCUGGGGGAAGAGUAAGGACGGUACCUCAGGAAUAAGUCACGGCUAACUACGUGCUAGCAGCCGCGGUAAUACGUAGGUGGCAAGCGUUAUCCGGAAUUACUGGGCGUAAAGCGCACGCAGGUGGCCAGUCAAGUCUGGCGUGAAAUCUCUUGGCUUAACUGGGAGAGGUCGUUGGAAACUGGCUGGCUGGAGGCAAUGAGAGGGGUGCGGAAUUCCCGGUGUAGUGGUGGAAUGCGU
This 276-nucleotide ribosomal RNA is filed under the name uncultured bacterium. Its description in RNAcentral is "partial 16S ribosomal RNA". It matches the Rfam family "Bacterial small subunit ribosomal RNA", at positions 399 to 691 of the family's 1533-position model. The record is from RNAcentral.